UUGGAGGGCAAGUCUGGUGCCAGCAGCCGCGGUAAUUCCAGCUCCAAUAGCGUAUAUUAAAGUUGUUGCAGUUAAAAAGCUCGUAGUUGGAUUUCGGGGUUCUACCGUUGGUCGGGCUUUGUCUGUACUGGCGUGUAGAAUUUCUACCUUCUGGGGAACCACCAUGUUAUUAAUUUAGCGUGGUGGGAAACCAGGACCUUUACCUUGAAAAAAUUAGAGUGUUCAAAGCAGGCUUAUGUCUGAAUACAUUAGCAUGGAAUAAUAGAAUAGGACGGUGGUCCUGUUUUGUUGGUUUCUGAAUCACCGUAAUGAUUAAUAGGGAUAGUUGGGGGCAUUAGUAUUCAAUUGUCAGAGGUGAAAUUCUUGGAUUUAUUGAAGACUAACUUCUGCGAAAGCAUUUGCCAAGGAUGUUUUCAUUAAUCAAGAACGAAAGUUAGGGGAUCGAAGACGAUCAGAUACCGUCGUAGUCUUAACCAUAAACUAUGCCGACUAGGGAUCGGACGAUGUUAAUUUUUCUUGACUCGUUCGGCGCCUUACGGGAAAC
RNAcentral lists this ribosomal RNA (544 nucleotides) under uncultured Glomeromycotina. Its description in RNAcentral is "SSU rRNA". It matches the Rfam family "Eukaryotic small subunit ribosomal RNA", at positions 548 to 1098 of the family's 1831-position model. Lineage: Eukaryota; Fungi; Glomeromycota. The record is from RNAcentral.